RNAcentral lists this ribosomal RNA (400 nucleotides) under uncultured bacterium. RNAcentral describes it as "bacterial SSU rRNA". It matches the Rfam family "Bacterial small subunit ribosomal RNA", at positions 8 to 410 of the family's 1533-position model. The record is from RNAcentral.
AGAGUUUGAUCCUGGCUCAGAUUGAACGCUGGCGGCAGGCCUAACACAUGCAAGUCGAGCGGAUGAGUGGAGCUUGCUCCAUGAUUCAGCGGCGGACGGGUGAGUAAUGCCUAGGAAUCUGCCUGGUAGUGGGGGACAACGUUUCGAAAGGAACGCUAAUACCGCAUACGUCCUACGGGAGAAAGUGGGGGAUCUUCGGACCUCACGCUAUCAGAUGAGCCUAGGUCGGAUUAGCUAGUUGGUGAGGUAAAGGCUCACCAAGGCGACGAUCCGUAACUGGUCUGAGAGGAUGAUCAGUCACACUGGAACUGAGACACGGUCCAGACUCCUACGGGAGGCAGCAGUGGGGAAUAUUGGACAAUGGGCGAAAGCCUGAUCCAGCCAUGCCGCGUGUGUGAAG